AACACUGUUAACCUGCGGUACCUGCGGAAGGAUCAUUACAAGUGACCCCGGUCUAACCACCGGGAUGUUCAUAACCCUUUGUUGUCCGACUCUGUUGCCUCCGGGGCGACCCUGCCUUCGGGCGGGGGCUCCGGGUGGACACUUCAAACUCUUGCGUAACUUUGCAGUCUGAGUAAACUUAAUUAAUAAAUUAAAACUUUCAACAAUGGAUCU
This 213-nucleotide unclassified non-coding RNA is filed under the name soil metagenome. Its description in RNAcentral is "partial contains 5.8S ribosomal RNA, internal transcribed spacer 2, and large subunit ribosomal RNA". The record is from RNAcentral.